UACAGAGGGUGCGAGCGUUAAUCGGAAUUACUGGGCGUAAAGCGUGCGUAGACGGUAGCGUAAGUCAGAUGUGAAAGCCCCGGGCUCAACCUGGGAACUGCAUUUGAGACUGCUCUGCUCGGGUGCGGAAGAGGGCAGCGGAAUUUCCGGUGUAGCGGUGAAAUGCGUAGAUAUCGGAAGGAACACCAGUGGCGAAAGCGGCUUCCUGGUCCGACACCGACGUUCAGGCACGAAAGCGUGGGGAGCAAACAGG
Molecule: ribosomal RNA, 253 nt
Filed under: uncultured bacterium
Lineage: Bacteria
Description: partial 16S ribosomal RNA
Rfam family: Bacterial small subunit ribosomal RNA
Source: RNAcentral